This 872-nucleotide ribosomal RNA is filed under the name uncultured bacterium. RNAcentral's name for it is "bacterial SSU rRNA". It matches the Rfam family "Bacterial small subunit ribosomal RNA", at positions 28 to 897 of the family's 1533-position model. The record is from RNAcentral.
GAUGAACGCUGGCGGCGUGCUUAACACAUGCAAGUCGAGCGGAGAUAUUUAAACGGAAGGUUUCGGCUGGAAGGUUAAAUAUCUUAGCGGCGGACGGGUGAGUAACGUGUGGGCAACCUGCCCUGUACUGUGGAAUAAUCACUGGAAACGGUGACUAAUACCGCAUGUCAUCACAAGGGGGCAUCCCCUUGUGAGAAAAGGAUUUAUUCGAUACGAGAUGGGCCCGCAUCUGAUUAGCUAGUUGGUGAGAUAACAGCCCACCAAGGCAACGAUCAGUAGCCGACCUGAGAGGGUGAUCGGCCACAUUGGGACUGAGACACGGCCCAAACUCCUACGGGAGGCAGCAGUGGGGAAUAUUGCACAAUGGGCGAAAGCCUGAUGCAGCAACGCCGCGUGAAGGAUGAAGGGUUUCGGCUCGUAAACUUCUAUCAAUAGGGACGAAAAAAAUGACGGUACCUAAAUAAGAAGCCCCGGCUAACUACGUGCCAGCAGCCGCGGUAAUACGUAGGGGGCAAGCGUUAUCCGGAAUUACUGGGUGUAAAGGGAGAGUAGGCGGCAUGGUAAGUUAGAUGUGAAAGCCCGGGGCUUAACCUCGGGAUUGCAUUUAAAACUAUCAAGCUAGAGUACAGGAGAGGUAAGUGGAAUUCCUAGUGUAGCGGUGAAAUGCGUAGAUAUUAGGAAGAACACCAGUGGCGAAGGCGACUCACUGGACUGAAACUGACGCUGAGGCUCGAAAGCGUGGGGAGCGAACAGGAUUAGAUACCCUGGUAGUCCACGCCGUAAACGAUGAGUGCUAGGUGUCGGGGGGGAACCCUCGGUGCCGCAGCUAACGCAAUAAGCACUCCACCUGGGGAGUACGAUCGCAAGAUUGA